Molecule: long non-coding RNA, 423 nt
Organism: Amblyraja radiata (thorny skate)
Lineage: Eukaryota; Metazoa; Chordata; Chondrichthyes; Rajiformes; Rajidae
Exons: 2
Source: RefSeq, a predicted model, not a curated record
UUCAGAGCAGCGGCAGAACGAGCUGCAGGUGUCUCUCACACAACCUCCUCUGUUUUGUUCUCAAUGUACAGGUAACUCUUUGAAGUGUUACUCCUGCUCAGCAUCAAUGGAAAGAUGCGUGGGUAAUACUGUUGACUGCUCUGCGACGCAGCAAUGCUACCUUGUGGUUACAGAGGCUGCUGGUGCAAAGGCUUACAGCGCUGGAUGUUUUCCCCUUGCUGAUUGUACAGUCAAGCAUAAUAUCGAAGGAAUUCUAGUCUCUGUCAAAUGCUGCACUACUAACCUCUGCAACGCGAGUGACCAAGUUAAAUUAUCUCUUCUGCUGUUCCCUGCUCUGGUCUCAGUCUGGUUUGCAAUAUUUAUGUGAAGCAAGUGCAUAAUAAUAAUGCACAGUGCAAUCUUCUGGAUGCUUUUUGUCUGAAG